GUGGUUGUGGCUCAAUGGUAGAGUGCUUGCUUAGCAUGUAUAAGGCACUGGGUUUGAUCCUCAGCACCACA
This is a non-coding RNA of Ictidomys tridecemlineatus (thirteen-lined ground squirrel), 71 nucleotides long. NCBI's taxonomy places the organism in Eukaryota, Metazoa, Chordata, Mammalia, Rodentia, Sciuridae. The record is from Rfam.